UACGUAGGGGGCAAGCGUUGUCCGGAAUUAUUGGGCGUAAAGAGCUCGUAGGCGGUUUGUUGCGUCGGCCGUGAAAACCUGCAGCUUAACUGUGGGCCUGCGGCCGAUACGGGCAGACUUGAGUUCGGUAGGGGAGACUGGAAUUCCUGGUGUAGCGGUGAAAUGCGCAGAUAUCAGGAGGAACACCGGUGGCGAAGGCGGUUCUCUGGGCCUGUACUGACGCUGAGGAACGAAAGCGUGGGGAGCGAACAGG
RNAcentral lists this ribosomal RNA (253 nucleotides) under uncultured bacterium. RNAcentral describes it as "partial 16S ribosomal RNA". It matches the Rfam family "Bacterial small subunit ribosomal RNA", at positions 524 to 776 of the family's 1533-position model. The record is from RNAcentral.